Non-coding RNA from Mauremys reevesii (Reeves's turtle), 755 nucleotides. The record is from the annotation of a RefSeq genome assembly. Lineage: Eukaryota; Metazoa; Chordata; Testudines; Geoemydidae.
CUGCCCGCUGAGGCGUUUCCCUUCUUUUAUGGCAACAAGAAUGAAAUCUCUGUGGCUUUUCCUUUCCCUGUUAUCCGCCCCUACCUGUGUCCUCUCUCAGGUGCAGCUGGUCGAGUCCGGCCCGGGCGUGGUGAAGCCCGGAGAGACCCUCGCACUCACCUGCGCUGUCUCUGGGGUCUCUAUCACUAGCAGCAGCUACGUGUGGAACUGGGUCCGGCAGCCCCCCGGGAAAGGGCUGGAGUGGGUAGCACGUAUAUACCCACACGACGGGAGAAAGUGGUUCGCCGCGUCUCUCCAAAGCCGGACCAGCAUCUCUUCGGAUACCUCCAAGAACCAGUUCUCCCUGCAGCUGGCCUCCCUGGCGGCUGCAGACACCGCCAUGUAUUACUGCGCCGGAGACACACAGCGACAGGGAGCAAAGCGGGGCUGGUACAAAAAGGGGAAGCGGAUUGUCUAGAGUCACUCGGGGCCCUGUCACACUCAGUCUCCACUGGAAGCGGGGUGAGACACGGGCCCAAAGGAGGUUGGGGGGCGGGGAGGGGGUUCCUCGUCUCCUAACGCAGCUCCUUGUAACACGGACACACAGAGAUCCCAGCUCACGGCUCCCCCGGGGGGAAUCAGGUCUCGUUCCUAGCAGCCAUCACACAACCCUUCUGGGUACUAGCUACAGCACACAGCGCUGCAUGUCCCCCUCCGGAGCUCAGGAAAUCCCAGCGGGGUUCAAGUCCAGUUCCUUUAGCCCAAUAUCCUGUCUC